AACGAACGCUGGCGGCAUGCCUAACACAUGCAAGUCGAACGAGGCCUUCGGGUCUAGUGGCGCACGGGUGCGUAACGCGUGGGAACCUGCCCUUAGGUUCGGAAUAACUCCCCGAAAGGGGUGCUAAUACCGGAUAAUGUCUUCGGACCAAAGAUUUAUCGCCUUUGGAUGGGCCCGCGUUGGAUUAGCUAGUUGGUAGGGUAAAAGCCUACCAAGGCGACGAUCCAUAGCUGGUCUGAGAGGAUGAUCAGCCACACUGGGACUGAGACACGGCCCAGACUCCUACGGGAGGCAGCAGUGGGGAAUAUUGGACAAUGGGCGAAAGCCUGAUCCAGCAAUGCCGCGUGAGUGAUGAAGGCCUUAGGGUUGUAAAGCUCUUUUACCCGGGAUGAUAAUGACAGUCCGGGAGAAUAAGCUCCGGCUAACUCCGUG
Molecule: ribosomal RNA, 432 nt
Filed under: uncultured bacterium
Lineage: Bacteria
Description: partial 16S ribosomal RNA
Rfam family: Bacterial small subunit ribosomal RNA
Source: RNAcentral